CUCAUGGCAAGCGUUGUCCGGCUUGAGCUUGAUCCUGGCUCAGAUUGAACGCUGGCGGCAGGCCUAACACAUGCAAGUCGAGCGGAAACGAUGGAAGCUUGCUUCCAGGCGUCGAGCGGCGGACGGGUGAGUAAUGCAUGGGAAUCUGCCCGAUAGUGGGGGAUAACCUGGGGAAACCCAGGCUAAUACCGCAUACGUCCUACGGGAGAAAGCAGGGGAUCUUCGGACCUUGCGCUAUCGGAUGAGCCCAUGUCGGAUUAGCUUGUUGGUGAGGUAAUGGCUCACCAAGGCGACGAUCCGUAGCUGGUCUGAGAGGAUGAUCAGCCACAUCGGGACUGAGACACGGCCCGAACUCCUACGGGAGGCAGCAGUGGGGAAUAUUGGACAAUGGGCGAAAGCCUGAUCCAGCCAUGCCGCGUGUGUGAAGAAGGCCCUCGGGUUGUAAAGCACUUUCAGUGGGGAAGAAAGCCUUGGGAUUAAUACUCCCGAGGAAGGACAUCACCCACAGAAGAAGCACCGUG
Molecule: ribosomal RNA, 521 nt
Filed under: Halomonas sp. M16-C15
Lineage: Bacteria; Pseudomonadati; Pseudomonadota; Gammaproteobacteria; Oceanospirillales; Halomonadaceae
Description: bacterial SSU rRNA
Rfam family: Bacterial small subunit ribosomal RNA
Source: RNAcentral